AAAUUGAAGAGUUUGAUCAUGGCUCAGAUUGAACGCUGGCGGCAGGCCUAACACAUGCAAGUCGAACGGUAACAGGAAGCAGCUUGCUGCUUCGCUGACGAGUGGCGGACGGGUGAGUAAUGUCUGGGAAACUGCCUGAUGAAGGGGGAUAACUACUGGAAACGGUAGCUAAUACCGCAUAAUGUCGCAAGACCAAAGAGGGGGACC
This 207-nucleotide ribosomal RNA is filed under the name Escherichia coli. RNAcentral's name for it is "partial 16S ribosomal RNA". It matches the Rfam family "Bacterial small subunit ribosomal RNA", at positions 1 to 215 of the family's 1533-position model. The record is from RNAcentral. Lineage: Bacteria; Pseudomonadati; Pseudomonadota; Gammaproteobacteria; Enterobacterales; Enterobacteriaceae.